Molecule: unclassified non-coding RNA, 309 nt
Filed under: uncultured Sistotrema
Lineage: Eukaryota; Fungi; Basidiomycota; Agaricomycetes; Corticiales; Corticiaceae
Description: sequence contains ITS2
Source: RNAcentral
AACGCACCUUGCGCUCUCUGGUAUUCCGGAGAGUACGCCUGUUCGAGUGUCAUGAAACUCUCAGGCAGAGAUAGCUUUGUUGCUGUUUUUGUUUGGAUUUGGACUUUGCUGUGCCAAUGCGGCUGGUCUUAAAUGUAUUAGCUGGUCCUAAUAUGGGGGUUUUGGUUCUACUCAGCGUGAUAAUUAUCUGACGCUGAGGACAGUCUUAGGACUGGCCAGAGCUUAUGUUUGGAUUGCUUCUAAUUGUCCCUUGGACAUACUGUUCAAUUGUCUGACCUCGGAUCAGGUGGGAUUACCCGCUGAACUUAA